This 1523-nucleotide ribosomal RNA is filed under the name Escherichia coli. RNAcentral's name for it is "partial 23S ribosomal RNA". It matches the Rfam family "Bacterial large subunit ribosomal RNA", at positions 344 to 1855 of the family's 2925-position model. The record is from RNAcentral. Lineage: Bacteria; Pseudomonadati; Pseudomonadota; Gammaproteobacteria; Enterobacterales; Enterobacteriaceae.
GGAAAGGCGCGCGAUACAGGGUGACAGCCCCGUACACAAAAAUGCACAUGCUGUGAGCUCGAUGAGUAGGGCGGGACACGUGGUAUCCUGUCUGAAUAUGGGGGGACCAUCCUCCAAGGCUAAAUACUCCUGACUGACCGAUAGUGAACCAGUACCGUGAGGGAAAGGCGAAAAGAACCCCGGCGAGGGGAGUGAAAAAGAACCUGAAACCGUGUACGUACAAGCAGUGGGAGCACGCUUAGGCGUGUGACUGCGUACCUUUUGUAUAAUGGGUCAGCGACUUAUAUUCUGUAGCAAGGUUAACCGAAUAGGGGAGCCGAAGGGAAACCGAGUCUUAACUGGGCGUUAAGUUGCAGGGUAUAGACCCGAAACCCGGUGAUCUAGCCAUGGGCAGGUUGAAGGUUGGGUAACACUAACUGGAGGACCGAACCGACUAAUGUUGAAAAAUUAGCGGAUGACUUGUGGCUGGGGGUGAAAGGCCAAUCAAACCGGGAGAUAGCUGGUUCUCCCCGAAAGCUAUUUAGGUAGCGCCUCGUGAAUUCAUCUCCGGGGGUAGAGCACUGUUUCGGCAAGGGGGUCAUCCCGACUUACCAACCCGAUGCAAACUGCGAAUACCGGAGAAUGUUAUCACGGGAGACACACGGCGGGUGCUAACGUCCGUCGUGAAGAGGGAAACAACCCAGACCGCCAGCUAAGGUCCCAAAGUCAUGGUUAAGUGGGAAACGAUGUGGGAAGGCCCAGACAGCCAGGAUGUUGGCUUAGAAGCAGCCAUCAUUUAAAGAAAGCGUAAUAGCUCACUGGUCGAGUCGGCCUGCGCGGAAGAUGUAACGGGGCUAAACCAUGCACCGAAGCUGCGGCAGCGACGCUGAUGCGUUGUUGGGUAGGGGAGCGUUCUGUAAGCCUGCGAAGGUGUGCUGUGAGGCAUGCUGGAGGUAUCAGAAGUGCGAAUGCUGACAUAAGUAACGAUAAAGCGGGUGAAAAGCCCGCUCGCCGGAAGACCAAGGGUUCCUGUCCAACGUUAAUCGGGGCAGGGUGAGUCGACCCCUAAGGCGAGGCCGAAAGGCGUAGUCGAUGGGAAACAGGUUAAUAUUCCUGUACUUGGUGUUACUGCGAAGGGGGGACGGAGAAGGCUAUGUUGGCCGGGCGACGGUUGUCCCGGUUUAAGCGUGUAGGCUGGUUUUCCAGGCAAAUCCGGAAAAUCAAGGCUGAGGCGUGAUGACGAGGCACUGCGGUGCUGAAGCAACAAAUGCCCUGCUUCCAGGAAAAGCCUCUAAGCAUCAGGUAACAUCAAAUCGUACCCCAAACCGACACAGGUGGUCAGGUAGAGAAUACCAAGGCGCUUGAGAGAACUCGGGUGAAGGAACUAGGCAAAAUGGUGCCGUAACUUCGGGAGAAGGCACGCUGAUAUGUAGGUGAAGUCCCUCGCGGAUGGAGCUGAAAUCAGUCGAAGAUACCAGCUGGCUGCAACUGUUUAUUAAAAACACAGCACUGUGCAAACACGAAAGUGGACGUAUACGGUGUGA